AUACCGUGGAAAUGUUCCACUAAUGCUGUAGUUGCCGGCGAGGCUACGUGAUUCAAUUAUACCAGACGUAUUAUACCGUAACUCCUUGUCAACUAGCCAAACCGAUUUCCAAACUUCGCAACGUCAAUUGGAUCUUUAGCAAAUUCUUCUUGCCGGUACUGGCAGAAUUUAUUCGCAAACUGUUUCACCAACUUGUAGCUCGGACUCUGCGGCGUUUUUGUGACUUUUAACCAGCCUGUAAAACUCAUUUAGUGACAAAAGUUGUUUCUUUGAACACGUUAGGAUACGUAAGCGUAAUUUGACGCUAUUAUAACAUAUACAACCGUGCAGAUUAAGAUAUUUGCAAAAUUUACCUAAAACGACAGUCAUUUGAUCACUUUUCAUGACGUCAUGCUGUUCAUCCGUUGUUGAUAGAUCGAAAAAAAUUCGUCAGUGCAAGUGUAAUCGGUCAAAUGAAAUAACCAAAAUACCUAACUAAAUUAGUGUUUUAAAAAUAUGUAAUAGCUCGGAUGCUUCGUGAAUUUCUUAUUAGAAAGUACUAGACACUUGUAUUCCGGCAAUAAAUUACCCUUGUCAUCGUGGAAGACAAAAUCAAGUCGAAGGACGGAUCUGCGUGCGUAGGAACGUUGGAUUAUCGCCGCUGAUCGAGAGAGAAGGAGUUCGGAGAGGGCUAAGAGGAACGCGGUGGAUUUUGGGAGAGCCGACAGCCCGACGCCACGUUUCCCCUCCGCCAGCCCUUGACGAUCAAGUCGAAAGACGUACAGCACCGAAAACGUCAUGAACGAAGCGUGCGAAUACGUACACUUGACGGUUUCGAUGCUGACAGUAAUUAAAGUGUAGUAAAGAAUCCAUCAUUUUGGUCGUAUUGGGAUUUGGAGGAUUGCGAUAGCUUGGAGAAACGGGGAUCUGGAUGAUUCUUUCAGUAAUCAAAAAUCCAUCAUUUUGGAAAAACUGGGAUCUAGCUAUUCUCGGGCCAGCAAUUCGCCCAAACCACCAGGAAAGCAGCCAUAGGACCGAUGAACUGACUGCGUCCAGGAAGUUUCCGGUAUUCUGGUAUCUGCCUGGCCUGCAACUUGUUAACCCCCAAAAAUAAAACGUGUAGCUGUAUCUGAAUACAUAUGCAUACGUAUAUAUUACAUAGAAUUGAUGCCCGUCCAUCUAGGUUUCGUGGAAAGAACGCUAACGGUAGCAUCGAGGGUUUCUCCUAAUUGUACCUGGAAACGCUUGAACCGCGGGGAUCCAAAUCACAUGGCGCUUUAUUGUAUUUUUUGCUGUAUAAAUAAUCUUUUACAGAUGGAGGUAUAAUGCAUAUCUGUACAUGUCUAUCUCUACGUACGACAUUCUGGUUGAUCCUGUCGCAGCUUCGCCGAUUUAACCGGAGAUCAGUAGUAGAAUUCUUAUUACAUAAAGUACUUUGCACCAUAAGAUAAGAAAAACGAUACUACAAUAACAAUAAUAAUGUUAACGAAAUUAGUAAGAACUGUAAUACAAAUCCUUUUACUGGAAUCGAUCAAACGUUAUAGCGCCAUAAUUGUAACGCGAGGAUUCAGUAAUUUUUAAAUUGCUAUUAUACACAUACAGAUAAAGAGAAACGGUUACACGGGCAUGUGAUACGUCCGUAUAUUGAAACAUACCAUGAAAAAAUUUUGAUACCAAUA
This 1658-nucleotide long non-coding RNA is filed under the name Neodiprion pinetum (white pine sawfly). RNAcentral describes it as "uncharacterized LOC124219010, transcript variant X1". Lineage: Eukaryota; Metazoa; Arthropoda; Insecta; Hymenoptera; Diprionidae. The record is from RNAcentral.